GACGAACGCUGGCGGCGUGCUUAACACAUGCAAGUCGUACGGUAAGGCCCUUUCGGGGGUUCACGAGUGGCGAACGGGUGAGUAACACGUGAGUAACCUGCCCACAACUUUGGGAUAACGCUAGGAAACUGGUGCUAAUACUGGAUAUGUGCUCCUGCUGCAUGGUGGGGGUUGGAAAGCUCCGGGGGUUGUGGAUGGACUCGCGGCCUAUCAGCUUGUUGGUGGGGUAGUGGCCUACCAAGGCGGCGACGGGUAGCCGGCCUGAUAGGGUGACCGGCCACAUUGGGACUGAGAUACGGCCCAGACUCCUACGGGAGGGAGCAGUGGGGAAUAUUGCACAAUGGGCGCAAGCCUGAUGCAGCCACGCCGCGUGCGGGAUGACGGCCUUCGGGUUGGAAACCGCUUUCAGCAGGGACGAAGCUUUUUGUGACGGUACCUGCAGAAGAAGCACCGGCUAACUACGUG
RNAcentral lists this ribosomal RNA (465 nucleotides) under uncultured bacterium. Its description in RNAcentral is "partial 16S ribosomal RNA". It matches the Rfam family "Bacterial small subunit ribosomal RNA", at positions 28 to 507 of the family's 1533-position model. The record is from RNAcentral.